GACGAACGCUGGCGGCGUGCUUAACACAUGCAAGUCGAACGGUAAGGCCCUUCGGGGUACACGAGUGGCGAACGGGUGAGUAACACGUGGGUGAUCUGCCCUGCACUUCGGGAUAAGCCUGGGAAACUGGGUCUAAUACCGGAUAGGACCACUGCCUGCAAGGGUGGUGGUGGAAAGCUUUUGCGGUGGGGGAUGGGCCCGCGGCCUAUCAGUUUGUUGGUGGGGUGAUGGCCUACCAAGGUGACGACGGGUAGCCGGCCUGAGAGGGUGGCCGGCCAUACUGGGACUGAGAUACGGCCCAGACUCCUACGGGAGGCAGCAGUGGGGAAUAUUGCACAAUGGGCGCAAGCCUGAUGCAGCGACGCCGCGUGAGGGAUGACGGCCUUCGGGUUGUAAACCUCUUUCAGCACCGACGAAGCGCAAGUGACGGUAGGUGCAGAAGAAGGACCGGCCAACUACGUGCCAGCCGCCGCGGUAA
RNAcentral lists this ribosomal RNA (478 nucleotides) under uncultured bacterium. RNAcentral's name for it is "partial 16S ribosomal RNA". It matches the Rfam family "Bacterial small subunit ribosomal RNA", at positions 28 to 523 of the family's 1533-position model. The record is from RNAcentral.